This 1217-nucleotide ribosomal RNA is filed under the name metagenome. Its description in RNAcentral is "bacterial SSU rRNA". It matches the Rfam family "Bacterial small subunit ribosomal RNA", at positions 8 to 1240 of the family's 1533-position model. The record is from RNAcentral.
AGAGUUUGAUCCUGGCUCAGGACGAACGCUGGCGGCGCGCCUAACACAUGCAAGUCGAACGAGAGAGAGGGAGCUUGCUUCCUCGAUCGAGUGGCGAACGGGUGAGUAACGCGUGAGGAACCUGCCUCAAAGAGGGGGACAACAGUUGGAAACGACUGCUAAUACCGCAUAAGCCCACGGCUCGGCAUCGAGCAGAGGGAAAAGGAGCAAUCCGCUUUGAGAUGGCCUCGCGUCCGAUUAGCUAGUUGGUGAGGUAACGGCCCACCAAGGCAACGAUCGGUAGCCGGACUGAGAGGUUGAACGGCCACAUUGGGACUGAGACACGGCCCAGACUCCUACGGGAGGCAGCAGUGGGGAAUAUUGCACAAUGGGGGAAACCCUGAUGCAGCGACGCCGCGUGGAGGAAGAAGGUCUUCGGAUUGUAAACUCCUGUUGUUGAGGAAGAUAAUGACGGUACUCAACAAGGAAGUGACGGCUAACUACGUGCCAGCAGCCGCGGUAAAACGUAGGUCACAAGCGUUGUCCGGAAUUACUGGGUGUAAAGGGAGCGCAGGCGGGCGAUCAAGUUGGAAGUGAAAUCCAUGGGCUCAACCCAUGAACUGCUUUCAAAACUGAUUGUCUUGAGUAGUGCAGAGGUAGGCGGAAUUCCCGGUGUAGCGGUGGAAUGCGUAGAUAUCGGGAGGAACACCAGUGGCGAAGGCGGCCUACUGGGCACCAACUGACGCUGAGGCUCGAAAGUGUGGGUAGCAAACAGGAUUAGAUACCCUGGUAGUCCACACCGUAAACGAUGAUUACUAGGUGUUGGAGGAUUGACCCCUUCAGUGCCGCAGUUAACACAAUAAGUAAUCCACCUGGGGAGUACGACCGCAAGGUUGAAACUCAAAGGAAUUGACGGGGGCCCGCACAAGCAGUGGAGUAUGUGGUUUAAUUCGACGCAACGCGAAGAACCUUACCAAGUCUUGACAUCCUGCGACGGGCAUAGAAAUAUGUUUUUCCUUCGGGACGCAGAGACAGGUGGUGCAUGGUUGUCGUCAGCUCGUGUCGUGAGAUGUUGGGUUAAGUCCCGCAACGAGCGCAACCCUUAUCUUCAGCUACUAACGCGUGAGGGUGAGGACUCUGAAGAGACUGCCGGGGACAACUCGGAGGAAGGUGGGGACGACGUCAAAUCAUCAUGCCCCUUAUGACCUGGGCUACACACGUGCUACAAUGGCCACGAC